Molecule: non-coding RNA, 1386 nt
Organism: Paramuricea clavata
Lineage: Eukaryota; Metazoa; Cnidaria; Anthozoa; Malacalcyonacea; Plexauridae
Source: the annotation of a GenBank genome assembly
GUGGCAAAGGUGGCAAGGGUGGCAAGGGUGGCAAAGGUGGCAAGGGUGGCAAGGGUGGCAAGGGUGGCAAGGGUGGCAAAGGUGGCAAGGGUGGCAAUACCGUGAACCUCUGACUAUAAGCCUUGGGCUUAUAUUCUUUUGUAAGCGAUUUUUGAUGGGCUUGGGGGUGGGGGAGCUUAUAUACGGGGCCUUAUACCUGGACGAUCGAUUGUGUUAGUAAUAAACAAGUCAGUCAGAAACAGGAAAAUAAACAUGUAUUAAUAACACACUUCGAUUAACAUAGUAAGCUAUAAAGACAAUGACAGUGUUUUAAAUAUCGUUCUCUGCUAUAUUAAAGGCAAUGUCAAUGUUAAAUCACAUAGUGGGACACUGGGCUUAUAUUCAGGGGACUUAUAUUCAGGGGGGGGCUUAUAUUUGGAAUGAGGUGAGCAUUUAUUCAGAGGUUUACAGUAUACAUUACAGUUGAAAAAAGCUUGUAUUUUCUUGUCAUAGACACACAUUUCUGGGUGCAUAUAGAACAUCUUAUACGUUGGGUUCUCAUGUCGAUCCAAUGGUAAUUUGAUAUCACUGCCAUCACCAUAGUAUAGUGUAGCACAGAAUGGCCUGUAUCCUACUACAAAUGCCUUGGUCAUUCAUGUGGAGAUAUGACUAUCACGAUAGAAUUAGUUUAUACGCCAAGUAACAUGUCCUACACGUCAGGUAGCAGCUGAAAUAUUUUAAUAUUUGCCAUAAUUCGCCCAUAACCUGUUGGCAAAACAUCUUCACCAUUUUACAAUGGCCGAGAGCCCGAGAUACAUUUGAAUGUCUCGUCUUUUAACGAAUAUUCAAGCCUUCUUUAAUUCUUUUCGCUAGAACAGCUUUAAUGGAGCGAUUGCAGAAUACCCGUCCACGCAUAAAUCGUGAUACUAAGUGGUACGCGGAUACGUGGCUACGCAGUGAGUUGAAUUAAAAAUAUGGUAAAGAUAAAAGAUAGAUGCAUGUAUAGUAUUUAUUGGAUACGCGGAUACUUGGCUACGCAGUGAGUUGAAUUAAAAAUAUGGUUAAUUAAGACGGCUAAAGAUAGAUGUAGUAUUUACUGGAUACGCGGAUACUUGGCCACGAAGUGAUUUGAAUUAAAAAUGUGGUAAAGACUAAAGAUAGAUGUAGUAUUUAUUGGAUACGCGGAUACUUGGCUACGAAGUGAGUUCAAUUUAAAAUGACGUAAUGAUAAGAUAGAUGUAGUAUUUAUUGGAUACGCGGAUACUUGGCUACGCAGUGCAGGGGCGGACAUAUCGAUUUUGACUGGGAGGGUGUAAUCACGAAAUGAGACCGACUCACCACUGAAAUGUGAAUCCAGACCGACUCUUGGUGAGUUGGUGUGUUGCAAUAAAAUUGAGUACAAAGCAU